RNAcentral lists this ribosomal RNA (253 nucleotides) under uncultured Lactobacillus sp. RNAcentral describes it as "partial 16S ribosomal RNA". It matches the Rfam family "Bacterial small subunit ribosomal RNA", at positions 112 to 356 of the family's 1533-position model. Lineage: Bacteria; Bacillati; Bacillota; Bacilli; Lactobacillales; Lactobacillaceae. The record is from RNAcentral.
CGAACGUGGGGAACCGUGCCCCACUAGUCUGGGAUACCACUUGGAAACAGGUGCUAAUACCGGAUAAGAAAGCGGAUCGCAUGAUCAGCUUUUAAAAGGCGGCGUAAGCUGUCGCUAUGGGAUGGCCCCGCGGUGCAUUAGCUAGUUGGUAAGGUAAAGGCUUACCAAGGCGAUGAUGCAUAGCCGAGUUGAGAGACUGAUCGGCCACAUUGGGACUGAGACACGGCCCAAACUCCUACGGGAGGCAGCAGCG